CAGAUAAGAUUUUAUAUUUUGUCAGUUGAGCGUGUUUAGAAAGCAGUAUACUGAGGAUACCAAUGGCCACUGAAAUGUUGCAACUGGGAUUUUUCUUCACUUUCAUGAGUGUUAUGAUCGGGGUAACUGAAGGGAUUACUUGUUUCGAGUGCAAGUAUGACUCCGUAAGGUUACACGACACCAACCCAUUCGUUGUUACUGGGCCCACCUCAUGCGGACCUGACUUUGAUGAGUCUGGGCCUGACGUGGGGACGGUCGAGUGCGGCAUACAUGUGGAUUCCUGUUCCUUAGUUCUAUUCUACCACGGCAAGGCGUUGACAGGAAUCCAGCGAGGAUGCGCCUUCGAUUCAAGCUGCCAAGAGGGUUGUUUGGAGGGCUCUCAGAUCAAGACGUGUUUCCAUUGCUGCGGUGAGAACUUCUGCAACUCCUCCUCAACAAACCGUUUCUCUGUGGGACUACUUCUCUUUGUGGCACUUUGGGCGUUUCUUACGGUUCACUUCGGGAGAGGAUAUAAAUAAUAUUAUUUUCACCCCCCCCCCACUUCGAGACAUGGUUUCGACUUGACAUAACCUGCGUAAAAUAUCGAAGGUAAAAAAAUGGAUUAAAGAGGGUGAUCCUAUUAUCCACCACGACUUAUGGAUAUCGCUGUACAUUAGAUAUUCAACUUUAAAACUGAUUCUAGGGAAUAACAACGACUCCCUCCCAUAUCUAUUUUAUCGCCUCUCUGUGCUAAAUAGGAUGUCCUAGCUAAAAAAAGUUAAUUCUGCGAACAUUGUUUUCAUUAUGUGUGUAUAUUUCGAUGAUAUAUUCAUGAUUGAUUUGGUUAUCUAAAACAGCGAAAAUUCUGUCAUUGCCCGGUGUGAUAGACGACGAUACCAGUCUUUUUACUCUGGUGUUAAUUUUGUGGUGUUUAGUUUCAACACCUACACUCUAAAAAAUGAAGUACUAAUUUAGCACUUCAACAGAGCUUGAUAUCGUGACUCCACUUCGGGGUGCUCAUUUUCUAGUUCAAAUUUAAUGUACUAAAUCAGUACUUCGAGGUGCAGUCACUAUACAAACUCCUUUGGUGCUAAAUUAUCACUUCAUUUUUUAGUAUAUGUGUGUUAAAUUAAAGUUAUUGACCAACAUAAAUGGCGUAAUCCAUAAAUGUAUAUGUAUUUGUUCAAAUACCAUCCAAAUUGAUUUUGUAUAUAUUGUAUGUUUAAUUUUACUGAUGUACUUCGUAAUGUCUUUCCUAUAUGGUAGAUCAAAUAUAACACUCACUCGUAGUGCAGUCACUAUACAAGCAUUGUAAGCAUGGUAAGUGCUAAAUUAGCCCUUCAAUUUUACAGUGUACCUCAGCACCACGUUCUUUGUCGUUUUAAGAGUGCAAACAACUUUAAAUCAACAUAGUUUACACAAAUGUGUGUGGUUUUUAAUCCAUUGAACAAAAUGUGCAACUUGUAAUCAAUCCUUUAUUGAAAAUUAAACAUAACUAUUCAAUUGUUAACACGUUGCUUGCAAUAAAAUAAUAUACGAUCAGUCCAUGAUUAUAGUAACCAAUGGUGAAUCAAUCAUUAUUACUGUGAACAAAUUGAGAGAGAAAACAAAAAUAUGUGUAUACUCGAGUUAUUAAGACUAGAACUAAGCAUUUUUAGGAAGAAAAUCAUGUCAUGGUGAAAGAGUAAUGAGUAACAAUGACAUAUGAAUAGAUAGAAAUAUCUCUGAAAUGGUUGCAGAUUGCAACUGAAAGAGGCAGGAUUCGGAUGGAUGCUGUAUACUCCUUGCUACGAAUGCGAUUGUGAGAUUCGGAACGAAAAAAGGGUCAAUAUAUAGACUAAUUGUAACCCGACAUGAGAUGGCGUCCUUCCAUAAUCCCCCCAAAUUGAUUGAUCUAUAUAUUUACUGACCUAUAUUAUUUUCCAAUAAACAGAUAAAUAUAUUUCGGUUAUCAAGGAGACUCCGAAAAGCGACCUAUUUAAUAGGCCUGAAAAAAAACGAAGUCAACCAUGUAAAAACAUUGUGAUUGUGUUUGAUUUGUUUUUCAUUCUAGGAUCCAGAAAGAGGGAGAAACAUAGUUAAUAAAUAUCGGUGAACAUUAAUGAUAGAAUGGAAGAUAUUCAUUACGAAUGGGUUAUUUUGUUCUGUCACAAGCAUUAAACAGGCUUUUUACGAAUAUAGGAGGUAGGAAGAAGGUUCCAUUUCUGUAUCUAAUUCUGUAGUAUAAUUCAGCCGGGGAUCGAACCCACGACCUCCCGUUCAUGAUGCAUGCGCUCUACUACUGAGCCACCAUGGCAGAAUAAGCACGGGGGGGGGGGGGGGCAGGCAUAUUAUUUCAUUUCGUUUCGUUUCGUUUAUUUCCUUUUCCAACAAUUAUAUUCAAUGUGAAGGCACCUGUGGAAGGCUCCUCGAUUGUACACCCGACAGAAAUUAAGACACGAAGUCAUCAGAAGUAAGGUGUUUGAUGUUUUAUUGUAUAGGAGAAAAAAUUGCAUUGUACAGAAAAAUAUACAAAAAAUAAUAUUAUAAGUACAUAUUCAUAUUGAGAUUAUUAUUGGAUGGCAUCAGCUAAGAAAAAGUGCUCAUAUUUCUGUAAUUAGAAUGCAGUUCAACAAUUAAUCAAUAAACCGAAAAAUGAAUUAACAAUCGCAUGGAUUUAAUAUUUCACCAUUAUUUCAUUAGUGAAUUAUAUUAUAUUCGGCAUUAUAAUGC
Molecule: long non-coding RNA, 2691 nt
Organism: Lytechinus pictus (painted urchin)
Lineage: Eukaryota; Metazoa; Echinodermata; Echinoidea; Temnopleuroida; Toxopneustidae
Exons: 4
Source: RefSeq, a predicted model, not a curated record